CCGCCGGCGACCGGCGCACGGGUGAGUAACACGUAUGCGAACCUGGCCGUGACAGAUGGAUAACCGGGAGAAAUCCCGCCUAAUACAACAUAAUGCCGGGAGGGGACAUCCCCUGCCGGCCAAAGGGGGCGACCCCGGUCACGGAUGGGCAUGCGGCGCAUUAGGUAGUUGGUGGGGCAACGGCCCACCAAGCCGACGAUGCGUAGGGGUUCUGAGAGGAAGGUCCCCCACAUUGGAACUGAGACACGGUCCAAACUCCUACGGGAGGCAGCAG
This 274-nucleotide ribosomal RNA is filed under the name uncultured bacterium. Its description in RNAcentral is "partial 16S ribosomal RNA". It matches the Rfam family "Bacterial small subunit ribosomal RNA", at positions 85 to 354 of the family's 1533-position model. The record is from RNAcentral.